GGGUCCAAAUUAGAAGAUAAAUGGAAUCAAGUAUGAACACGACUUAAAUAUCAAGGGCUCAGAUUAAAAGAUCACUCUUUAUAAAGAUCUAGUGAGAACAUGACUUAUUGAUCAAUGGAGGAGAAGCAAUAUAAAGAUCUAAGGGUCUUUAUUCAUGCUUCCACCUCUCUUCUCAUGAAACUCUAGAGUCUCCAACGCUUAAAACCCUAGCCUCCACUCUAUAAAUACACACCCCCUUCUCUUCCAAAGGGACAUCAGCCCCCUUGUGGGGUUCUUCAU
Molecule: long non-coding RNA, 279 nt
Filed under: Elaeis guineensis (African oil palm)
Lineage: Eukaryota; Viridiplantae; Streptophyta; Magnoliopsida; Arecales; Arecaceae
Description: long non-coding RNA (EGUI_LNC008352)
Source: RNAcentral